UAGAAUGCAUACUGCAAAUAGAUAGGAC
This 28-nucleotide non-coding RNA is filed under the name Mus musculus (house mouse). Lineage: Eukaryota; Metazoa; Chordata; Mammalia; Rodentia; Muridae. The record is from RNAcentral.